GCCGCUUUAGCUCAGCCGGUAGAGCACCGCAUUCGUAAUGCGGGGGUCAGGUGUUCGAGUCACCUAAGCGGCACCA
Molecule: transfer RNA, 76 nt
Filed under: Caulobacter sp.
Lineage: Bacteria; Pseudomonadati; Pseudomonadota; Alphaproteobacteria; Caulobacterales; Caulobacteraceae
Also listed under: 9 other names
Description: tRNA-Thr
Rfam family: tRNA
About the family: Transfer RNA (tRNA) molecules are approximately 80 nucleotides in length.
Source: RNAcentral